RNAcentral lists this long non-coding RNA (300 nucleotides) under Gossypium barbadense (sea-island cotton). RNAcentral describes it as "long non-coding RNA (GBAR_LNC019642)". Lineage: Eukaryota; Viridiplantae; Streptophyta; Magnoliopsida; Malvales; Malvaceae. The record is from RNAcentral.
AAAGCAGCCUUGUCAUACGCCCUCGCUGCUUCCUCGGCUGUUUCAAAUGUCCCUAGCCAAACUCGAGCACCUUUCCUCGACGAGUCUCGUAUCUCCGCGGCGUACUUUCCCCAUGGCCGCCUCCUUACUCCGCGGUAAUGCCUGGUCGUUGCCACCUUAUCUACUCUCAUGGAACACACUUUACUGCUUGUUUUAUCAUUACAUGAUUGGUCUAUUUUGUUGCCUGAAGGAAUAAUCCCAUCAAGAAGACCCUCCCAAGCAUCAGCUCCCAUUGAUAUCCACCUCCCAAGACUUGGCAGU